This 551-nucleotide ribosomal RNA is filed under the name uncultured bacterium. Its description in RNAcentral is "bacterial SSU rRNA". It matches the Rfam family "Bacterial small subunit ribosomal RNA", at positions 355 to 896 of the family's 1533-position model. The record is from RNAcentral.
UAGGGAAUCUUCGGCAAUGGACGGAAGUCUGACCGAGCAACGCCGCGUGAGUGAAGAAGGUUUUCGGAUCGUAAAGCUCUGUUGUAAGAGAAGAACGAGUGUGAGAGUGGAAAGUUCACACUGUGACGGUAUCUUACCAGAAAGGGACGGCUAACUACGUGCCAGCAGCCGCGGUAAUACGUAGGUCCCGAGCGUUGUCCGGAUUUAUUGGGCGUAAAGCGAGCGCAGGCGGUUAGAUAAGUCUGAAGUUAAAGGCUGUGGCUUAACCAUAGUACGCUUUGGAAACUGUUUAACUUGAGUGCAAGAGGGGAAAGUGGAAUUCCAUGUGUAGCGGUGAAAUGCGUAGAUAUAUGGAGGAACACCGGUGGCGAAAGCGGCUCUCUGGCUUGUAACUGACGCUGAGGCUCGAAAGCGUGGGGAGCAAACAGGAUUANAUACCCUGGUAGUCCACGCCGUANACGAUGAGUGCUAGGUGUUAUACCCUUUCCGGGGUUUAGUGCCGCAGCUAACGCAUUAAUCACUCCGCCUGGGGAGUACUGACCGCAAGUUGA